RNAcentral lists this ribosomal RNA (119 nucleotides) under Pteropus alecto (black flying fox). Lineage: Eukaryota; Metazoa; Chordata; Mammalia; Chiroptera; Pteropodidae. The record is from RNAcentral.
GCCUACAGCCAUACCACCCUGAACGCGCCCGAUCUCGUCUGAUCUCAGAAGCUAAGCAGGGUCGGGCCUGGUUAGUACUUGGAUGGGAGACCACCUGGGAAUACCGGGCGCCGUAGGCU